CUACGGGCCGCUCCAGUGGGGAAUAUUGCACAAUGGGCGCAAGCCUGAUGCAGCCAUGCCGCGUGUAUGAAGAAGGCCUUCGGGUUGUAAAGUACUUUCAGCGGGGAGGAAGGGAGUAAAGUUAAUACCUUUGCUCAUUGACGUUACCCGCAGAAGAAGCACCGGCUAACUCCGUGCCAGCAGCCGCGGUAAUACGGAGGGUGCAAGCGUUAAUCGGAAUUACUGGGCGUAAAGCGCACGCAGGCGGUUUGUUAAGUCAGAUGUGAAAUCCCCGGGCUCAACCUGGGAACUGCAUCUGAUACGGGCAAGCUUGAGUCUCGGAGAGGGGGGUAGAAUUCCAGGUGUAGCGGUGAAAUGCGUAGAGAUCUGGAGGAAUACCGGUGGCGAAGGCGGCCCCCUGGACGAAGACUGACGCUCAGGUGCGAAAGCGUGGGGAGCAAACAGGAUUAGAUACCCGUGUAGUC
RNAcentral lists this ribosomal RNA (464 nucleotides) under uncultured bacterium. RNAcentral describes it as "partial 16S ribosomal RNA". It matches the Rfam family "Bacterial small subunit ribosomal RNA", at positions 339 to 795 of the family's 1533-position model. The record is from RNAcentral.